RNAcentral lists this ribosomal RNA (253 nucleotides) under uncultured bacterium. RNAcentral's name for it is "partial 16S ribosomal RNA". It matches the Rfam family "Bacterial small subunit ribosomal RNA", at positions 524 to 776 of the family's 1533-position model. The record is from RNAcentral.
UACGUAGGGCGCAAGCGUUGUCCGGAAUUAUUGGGCGUAAAGAGCUCGUAGGCGGUUUGUCGCGUCUGUCGUGAAAGCUUGGGGCUUAACCCCAAGUCUGCGGUGGAUACGGGCAGGCUAGAGGCUGGUAGGGGCAAGCGGAAUUCCUGGUGUAGCGGUGAAAUGCGCAGAUAUCAGGAGGAACACCGGUGGCGAAGGCGGUUCUCUGGGCAUUACCUGACGCUGAGGAGCGAAAGUGUGGGGAGCGAACAGG